Molecule: long non-coding RNA, 414 nt
Organism: Ruditapes philippinarum (Manila clam)
Lineage: Eukaryota; Metazoa; Mollusca; Bivalvia; Venerida; Veneridae
Exons: 3
Source: RefSeq, a predicted model, not a curated record
CAGAAAUUAAAAAGGAAAAGAGUCUCUAAAGUGACAGAUUCGGCAAAAAAGCGUAGGAAAAUCGAAUGGUCCAAGGCAAGAGUGCAUGUUGGGAGCCAAAUACAUCGGUGGCGACAGUUGAAAAUUGCAUGUGGGAUUAAAACAGAUGCCAAAUUUGCUAAACAUUUGCUCGACAGAUAUACAACAGCACAAGUACCUCCAGCAACAACCACUGGUAGCAGUCCACAUGUAGUGAUGCCCUUUCCAGGAACAUCAGGACAAAUGACAUCCACAUCAGCUAGUACCACCCAGCGUUUUCCAGGUCCACAGUUUCAGAAAUAUCAUCUGAAUCUGGGUUGACUGAUGUGGAUAAACCAGAGUUAUCAGGAUUGGAAGAACUUCAAGAAGAGAAAAAUAGUGAUGGGUAAGAUACAU